UUGGAGGGCAAGUCUGGUGCCAGCAGCCGCGGUAAUUCCAGCUCCAAUAGCGUAUAUUAAAGUUGCUGCAGUUAAAAAGCUCGUAGUUGAAUUUCGGGACCAUCAUGUCGGUCGUGCCUCGGUACGUACUGGCAUCGUCGGUUUCUCCCUUCUGACGAACCAUGAUGUCAUUUAUUUGGUGUUGUGGGGAAUCAGGACUGUUACUUUGAAAAAAUUAGAGUGUUUAAAGCAGGCUCACGCUUGAAUACAUUAGCAUGGAAUAAUGAAAUAGGACGUUUGAUUCUAUUUUGUUGGUUUCUAGGAUCGACGUAAUGAUUAAUAGGGAUAGUUGGGGGCAUUAGUAUUCAAUUGUCAGAGGUGAAAUUCUUGGAUUUAUCGAAGACUAACUACUGCGAAAGCAUUUGCCAAGGAUGUUUUCAUUAAUCAAGAACGAAAGUUAGGGGAUCGAAGACGAUCAGAUACCGUCGUAGUCUUAACCAUAAACUAUGCCGACUAGGGAUCGGAUGAUGUUAAUUUUUUAAUGACUCAUUCGGCGCCUUACGGGAAA
RNAcentral lists this ribosomal RNA (547 nucleotides) under uncultured Glomeromycotina. RNAcentral describes it as "SSU rRNA". It matches the Rfam family "Eukaryotic small subunit ribosomal RNA", at positions 548 to 1097 of the family's 1831-position model. The record is from RNAcentral. Lineage: Eukaryota; Fungi; Glomeromycota.